This 402-nucleotide ribosomal RNA is filed under the name uncultured bacterium. RNAcentral describes it as "partial 16S ribosomal RNA". It matches the Rfam family "Archaeal small subunit ribosomal RNA", at positions 473 to 873 of the family's 1478-position model. The record is from RNAcentral.
ACACCGGCAGCUCGAGUGGUAGCUGUUUUUAUUGGGCCUAAAGCGUUCGUAGCCGGUUUGAUAAGUCUCUGGUGAAAUCCCACAGCUUAACUGUGGGAAUUGCUGGAGAUACUAUCAUGACUCGAGGUCGGGAGAGGCUGGAGGUACUCCCAGGGUAGGGGUGAAAUCCUGUAAUCCUGGGAGGACCACCUGUGGCGAAGGCGUCCAGCUGGAACGAACCUGACGGUGAGGGACGAAAGCCAGGGGCGCGAACCGGAUUAGAUACCCGGGUAGUCCUGGCCGUAAACGAUGUGGACUUGGUGUUGGGAUGGCUUCGAGCUGCCCCAGUGCCGAAGGGAAGCUGUUAAGUCCACCGCCUGGGAAGUACGGCCGCAAGGCUGAAACUUAAAGGAAUUGGCGGGG